RNAcentral lists this ribosomal RNA (499 nucleotides) under uncultured bacterium. RNAcentral's name for it is "partial 16S ribosomal RNA". It matches the Rfam family "Bacterial small subunit ribosomal RNA", at positions 30 to 523 of the family's 1533-position model. The record is from RNAcentral.
AUUGAACGCUGGCGGCAUGCCUUACACAUGCAAGUCGAACGGCAGCACGGGAGCAAUCCUGGUGGCGAGUGGCGAACGGGUGAGUAAAGUAUCGGAACGUGCCAGUCGUGGGGGAUAACGUAGCGAAAGUUACGCUAAUACCGCAUACGAUCUAUGGAUGAAAGCGGGGGAUCGCAAGACCUCGCGCGAUUGGAGCGGCCGAUAUCAGAUUAGGUAGUUGGUGGGGUAAAGGCUCACCAAGCCGACGAUCUGUAGCUGGUCUGAGAGGACGACCAGCCACACUGGGACUGAGACACGGCCCAGACUCCUACGGGAGGCAGCAGAGGGGAAUUUUGGACAAUGAGCGAAAGCCUGAUCCAGCCAUGCCGCGUGCAGGAUGAAGGCCUUCGGGUUGUAAACUGCUUUUGUACGGAACGAAAAGGUUUGGGCUAAUAAGCUGAGCUCAUGACGGUACCGUAAGAAUAAGCACCGGCUAACUACGUGCCAGCAGCCGCGGUAA